GCACAGGUGCUGCAUGGCUGUCGUCAGCUCGUGUCGUGUGAUGUUCGGUUAAGUCCGCUAACGAGCGCAACCCUCACUGUGUGUUAUAUGUGUCACACGGGACUGCCGGUUUUAAGCCGGAGGAAGGUGGGAUGACGUCAAGUCAGCAUGGCCUUUAUAUCCUGGGCUACACACACGCUACAAUGGUCGGUACAAUAGGUUGCCAAGCCGCGAGGCGGAGCCAAUCCAUAAAAAGCCGGCCUCAGUUCAGAUUGUAGGCUGCAACUCGCCUGCAUGAAGAUGGAGUUGCUAGUAACCGCAGGUCAGCAAUACUGCGGUGAAUACGUUCCCGGGUCUU
Molecule: ribosomal RNA, 337 nt
Filed under: uncultured Anaerolineaceae bacterium
Lineage: Bacteria; Bacillati; Chloroflexota; Anaerolineae; Anaerolineales; Anaerolineaceae
Description: bacterial SSU rRNA
Rfam family: Bacterial small subunit ribosomal RNA
Source: RNAcentral